CUAGAAACCGUUCUCUAAACCCUUCCUUCUCUAUUCCAUCUCUAAACCGUUCUCUAUAUUGCAAUGCAAUGCAAAGCAAAGCUGUACUCACUACACAAACCCUAACUUCUCAUUGCUUUCUAGUUCUUCAGUUUCCCUUUUUGUUUGAUUUUUUGAAACUUCCUCCACUGAAAUAGAAGAUGGCUCAAGUUGUGUUUGCCUAAAG
Lupinus albus (white lupine) is the source of this 205-nucleotide non-coding RNA. Lineage: Eukaryota; Viridiplantae; Streptophyta; Magnoliopsida; Fabales; Fabaceae. The record is from the annotation of a GenBank genome assembly.